Molecule: ribosomal RNA, 428 nt
Filed under: uncultured bacterium
Lineage: Bacteria
Description: partial 16S ribosomal RNA
Rfam family: Bacterial small subunit ribosomal RNA
Source: RNAcentral
UGCCAGUCGACGGGUUCAAUAGAACAAGUGGCGGACGGGUGAGUAACGCGUGAGAAUGUGCCUUCAGGAUGGGGAUAACAAUAGGAAACUAAUGCUAAGACCCAAUAUGCUGGAAAGUGAAAAAUGAAAAUUGCCUGAAGAGGAGCUCGCGUCUGAUUAGCUAGUUGGGGCGGUAAAAGCGCACCAAGGCAACGAUCAGUAGCUGGUCUGAGAGGAUGAGCAGCCACACUGGGACUGAGACACGGCCCAGACUCCUACGGGAGGCAGCAGUGGGGAAUUUUCCGCAAUGGGCGAAAGCCUGACGGAACAAUACCGCGUGGGGGGAAGAAGGCCUUUGGGUUGUAAACCCUCAAAACUUUAGGAAAAAAAAAAUGGACGGGACCUAAUAUAAACAUCGGCUAACUCCGUGCCAGCAGCCGCGUAAUACG